RNAcentral lists this long non-coding RNA (421 nucleotides) under Anser brachyrhynchus (Pink-footed goose). RNAcentral's name for it is "lncRNA (ENSABRG00000009487.1)". Lineage: Eukaryota; Metazoa; Chordata; Aves; Anseriformes; Anatidae. The record is from RNAcentral.
AGGCGAUAACGUGGCUGUUUUCCACUCCGCCUGUCUGCGUGGUUCCGUGGUGACCUCUGAGCAGACAACAGCACAAAGGCAUCCCGCGGCUCGACGCGAGAGGUGGGUACAGCCAACAGCACAGGGCAGUAUUUUACCAUGGCUGUAAUUAUCCAGAGGGGUCUUCUGAGAGAGGCUCCGAUGGCCUCUUUGCUGCUUUAGGACCUUCAAUGAAGAUUGCUGUCCUUAGGGAUUCAGAAGAUCGUCCUGCAGUUAUCACAGGAGAAAUACAGCGUCCUCAGUGUAAGCCCGUGCUGGGGACGCCCUGUCCGACCCUGCUCUGAACCUGGGCGUGUGGCAGCCUUGGAGCCGCUUGUUUUAGGUAUUAUCUGCAGCAGCUGUUCCCACCCGAGAAAGAAGAGCUGUGCCGGGAGCAGGGGUG